GCAUUAUACAGCGAAACUGCGAAUGGCUCAUUAUAUAAGUUAUCGUUUAUUUGAUAGUGCCUUACUACUUGGAUAACCGUGGUAAUUCUAGAGCUAAUACAUGCUAAAAAUCCCGACUCCGGAAGGGAUGUAUUUAUUAGAUUAAAAACCAAUGCCCUCUGGGCUCCCUGGUGAUUCAUGAUAACUUCUCGAAUCGCACGGCCUUGCGCCGGCGAUGGUUCAUUCAAAUUUCUUCCCUAUCAACUUUCGAUGUUUGGGUAGUGGCCAAACAUGGUGGCAACGGGUAACGGAGGGUUAGGGCUCGACCCCGGAGAAGGAGCCUGAGAAACGGCUACUACAUCCAAGGAAGGCAGCAGGCGCGCAAAUUACCCAAUCCCGACACGGGGAGGUAGUGACAAUAAAUACUGAUACAGGGCUCUUUUGGGUCUUGUAAUUGGAAUGAGUACAAUUUAAAUCCCUUAACGAGGAACAAUUGGAGGGCAAGUCUGGUGCCAGCAGCCGCGGUAAUUCCAGCUCCAAUAGCGUAUAUUAAAGUUGUUGUGGUUAAAAAGCUCGUAGUUGAACCUUGGGCCUGGCUGGCCGGUCCGCCUCACCGCGUGUACUGGUCCGGCCGGGCCUUUCCCUCUGUGGAACCCCAUGCCCUUCACUGGGUGUGGCGGGGAAACAGGACUUUUACUUUGAAAAAAUUAGAGUGCUCCAGGCAGGCCUAUGCUCGAAUACAUUAGCAUGGAAUAAUGAAAUAGGACGCGCGGUUCUAUUUUGUUGGUUUCUAGGACCGCCGUAAUGAUUAAUAGGGACAGUCGGGGGCAUCAGUAUUCAAUUGUCAGAGGUGAAAUUCUUGGAUUUAUUGAAGACUAACUACUGCGAAAGCAUUUGCCAAGGAUGUUUUCAUUAAUCAGGAACGAAAGUUAGGGGAUCGAAGACGAUCAGAUACCGUCGUAGUCUUAACCAUAAACUAUGCCGACUAGGGA
Molecule: ribosomal RNA, 971 nt
Filed under: Polycephalomyces formosus
Lineage: Eukaryota; Fungi; Ascomycota; Sordariomycetes; Hypocreales; Polycephalomycetaceae
Description: SSU rRNA
Rfam family: Eukaryotic small subunit ribosomal RNA
Source: RNAcentral